Molecule: ribosomal RNA, 421 nt
Filed under: uncultured archaeon
Lineage: Archaea
Description: bacterial SSU rRNA
Rfam family: Archaeal small subunit ribosomal RNA
Source: RNAcentral
AUGCUUCUAAGCGUCGCCCAAGGAAGGGGCCGCGACCGAUCAGGUUGUUGGUGAGGUAACGGCUCACCAAGCCUUUAACCGGUACGGGCCGUGAGAGCGGAAGCCCGGAGAUGGGCACUGAGACAAGGGCCCAGGCCCUACGGGGCGCAGCAGUCGCGAAAACUCCGCAAUACACGAAAGUGUGACGGGGCCAUCCCGAGUGCCAUCCGCUGAGGAUGGCUUUUCCCCAGUGUAUAAAGCUGGGGGAAUAAGGAGAGGGCAAGCCUGGUGUCAGCCGACGCGGUAAUACCAGCUCUCCGAGUGGUGGGGAUGCUUAUUGGGCCUAAAGCAUUCGUAGCCUGCUUGGCAAGUCCUCCAGUCUAUCCAACGAUUCAAUCGUUGGGCUGCGGGGGAUACUGUCCGGCUAGGGGGCGGGAGAGGC